UGGUGGAGUGAUUUGUCUGGUUAAUUCCGAUAACGAACGAGACUCUAUUCAUCUAAAUAGUUCUACUUUUUCUUUACAAAGUAGGACCCCUUUUCCUUUCUUAGAGAGACUGGCUGCGUCUAGCAGCACGAGAUUGAGCAAUAACA
RNAcentral lists this ribosomal RNA (146 nucleotides) under uncultured eukaryote. Its description in RNAcentral is "partial 18S ribosomal RNA". It matches the Rfam family "Eukaryotic small subunit ribosomal RNA", at positions 1299 to 1458 of the family's 1831-position model. The record is from RNAcentral.